UGCAUCGGCCGGGAAUCGAACCCGGGUCACCCGCGUGGCAGGCGAGCAUUCUACCACUGAACCGCCGAUUC
This 71-nucleotide transfer RNA is filed under the name Cordylochernes scorpioides. RNAcentral describes it as "tRNA-Gly". The record is from RNAcentral. Lineage: Eukaryota; Metazoa; Arthropoda; Arachnida; Pseudoscorpiones; Chernetidae.